Molecule: long non-coding RNA, 961 nt
Filed under: Lepisosteus oculatus (spotted gar)
Lineage: Eukaryota; Metazoa; Chordata; Actinopteri; Semionotiformes; Lepisosteidae
Description: lncRNA (ENSLOCG00000022839.1)
Source: RNAcentral
GCUGUGCAGCUCUAAAUGAGCAACAGUGAUUGAACCCCAGCAGGGGGCAGCGCUGCACCUUAAUCCCUCUGGGCAGUGUGCGAUAGAGGUGGUGUGAUAUGUCUUCAGGUGGGUGAGGGCCAAUGCUCCCUCUCAGCUGUGCGCAUGUGCGGCGCACACAGGUUAGGAAAUCCGCGCACAUAGGAAACUGAACUGUGCACAAAAAAAUAAAUUCCCCUCAAAAUAUGAUCAUAAUAAAACAAACACGGUUGUCAACUGAAAAAUGCUAAAUUGACCAUGAGACAAGAGAGGCCCAACUUGGCUGUGUGCAUUAUUAUUGCUUCUCGAUCAUCGAUAUCUCUGGUCUCGUACCUCCCUGCUCCUGCUCGCUCCACACUCAGUCUCUAUGACUGGGCUCGCUGAGUCGCUGUCCCGGUCUUCUGGACCUCUAUGCUUCUCUGAGAACGACUAUAUUAACAAAAAGUAAUUUCAGGUUUACAAUUUUACAUACAAUUUACAAUUUAGUGCGCACAAGUUUUUGUCAUGGGGGGGAAAAACUUGAAAUUUGUGUGCACGUGGGCCAUUAGAAAUUAGAGGGAACAUUGAUGAGGAGGUAAAAUGUUCAGUAAACUCUCUGGGGAGCGGGGAUGGGGUCUGGAGGCCCCGGGCUGUCCCCCCUCUGCCUGGACUAACGCCGUGCCGGGCACUCGCAGGUGGUGGACGCGCGUGGGGGUCCCAGCGUGAAGACGGCAGCGAGGCCGAGGAAGAUGAAGCUGCUGUCCGGCAGAGUCCGGCCCGGCCCAGGCCCGGUCAGCAGGCUCCAGGGGCGGCUGAAAAGACACCACUCCGACGCGCACAGCUCCGCCUCCAGCGCCUCGCCCGCCCAGUCUCCCAGCUACAGCCACCCGUCCGACGAGGGCUCGGACUCGGAGCUGCCCGCGGGCGCCGGCCGCGCCCCCGUCUUCUCCUUCCUCGACCUGAC